CCUAAAUGUACCAUGAUAAAAUAAGUGUUAGGAAGUCACUUUGUCACCAGAAACUUUAAGUUAAAAAUACCCAUGUCAACAUUUUAUUAAGACAGUCACUUACAGUUUGUAAAAAGAAUUCUAACAUACAUAAAAGUUUCGGGUCUGAAGAAGCAAGGAAUUGAAAAAGCAUCCCCCCCCUCAUGUACAGACACUGCAGUACAAACUUCAGUUUGUUUGAUUUAGAUUGGCUUAAUCUUGAAGUGUAGUCCAAUAAGACUGAAGACUAGACAUUUAAGGUCCUGGACCAGGUAGUAGAACACUCUCAAACCUUCUGGAUCCUUGGAUUGAUUUACAUCGAUGAGCGACCCAAUUUUUGACGUGGUAAAGGAGAUGUGCUCGUCACCAAUUACUAUUUCAAGCUCCUGGCGGCCCACCCUGUCUGGUGGCGGCCACAGCGCGUCGUCCUCUUUGGUGAUCUCGCUGUCGUCGAUGAUCCGCUUCAGCUCCUCCAUCACGCUCUUGUGCACGUAGGCCUCUUUGCGGAUCAUGACGUCGUUCUUGUAGUUGCUGUUGUUGGCGUAGCGCAGCUUCCCGUCGGGCCGGAACUCGAACUCCAGGAACUCGUGCCCGAAUUUCCCCUUGUGCCCCACGUAGUACCGCAGGUAGAAGUCGCUCGCCAUGGUCCCGCCGCGCCGCACCGGCAUGCACCGCGACGGCGCGUGCCGAAUGCGUCACGGAGGGUGGGGCGGGAUGGGACGGCACGGAACGAGCCCAGCCUGCUGCGCGCUCUCCGUGCUCCCAUUGGCUGCCGCCCGCGAGGCCGAGCGGCCGCGGUGACCGUUGCGCCCCCCUGCGGCGGGGAGGGCUGCUGCAGCCCGGCACCUGGGACGGCCGUUAGGCCGCCAUGUUGCCCGCGACGGGACAGGGGCUGCCCCGACAUCCCCAACCGCCCGGCGGCUUUUGUACUUUGUUUCCAGUCAGUAGUAGCGGUCCUGUUGUCUCCAAGACGUCUCAGUACUCUUCUCAUUCGUAUUGAGAUGGUGAUUUUCUUCAGAGUCUUUGUUAGACAAAGAGUACGGAGAGCUAUACAUAAUUUGUUACUAGCUUAUACGUGUAUGCUGUUAAUUGUUUAACUUCUCCUCCUUUAAUUCUCUGUUACUCGGGUCCUGUCUAUCCAAAGCCAAAAGCUAGUAGUUUUCCAGCAUCAAGGGGUUUCUGUUUUGUAAAGAUAUCUAUUACAUCUAACUUGCCUUUAACUGAAGGCUCAGAAGUUUUUCAGAUGGCUGGACAGACAGAAGCUCGUCUUUGUGCUUAUAACUUACUCCAUCUACCUAAUCUCUAUGGAUAUAUAUCAGAGAACCCUGAUAAAGUAGAAAGACCCCUGAAAAGAGCUAUUAAUUCUAAUAAAGGACCCAAAUGGUAGCAGAGGCCAUGAAAUUAACAAAAUUCUUAUCUUGUUCUGAUGCAGAAACAACAUUCAGUUCCCACAGGUGUGGGAAUUAGCUCACGGCUAAGGGAAGGAUUUUGCUCAGUCAGAAUUUUACAGGAAUUUACAAAGGCUAACACGUGGAAGUUUAUUUCCAGUGAUUUCUUUUGAGAUAUGCAAAGAGUUUGGCACAUUUAGACUGAAGUCUAAAUCUUCAGGUUGCACAUGCUGUGUUCCAGUAUACGAAAGUGUUGCAGAAAAUGAGCCCAGAUAAAAGGUCCUGAUGUGCUGGCUGAGAAAUCCCCAGGAAAUGAUCACUUGCCAGAUUUUGCAGACACACAGCUUCGAAGUUGAAACCUCUCUUACUGUCAUCAGGAUAAUUCGCAAUGAAUGUCAUACUUCGACUGCCAACAGCUGUGUGAAGCUGGCACAGGACUCGUGGAUACCUUUGUUAACCUGGGUGCUGUUCCCAGGGCAUCCAAAGCCACUGCAGCUGCCUCUGAAGUGCUCCUGUUGUGGCUGUUUGGCCCCCAGGACCAGCAAGAUCUACCACGGUGCUGGCAUUCACUUUGAUGACAGCUGCUGCACUUCAAUGAAUUUUACAAAUGGUGAACUAAGACACUGCCCCACAGUAUCUCCUAAAUUGAGACUUAACGAAGAAGAGAGUGGGGGAAAGGAUCCAGAAGGCCACGAGACCCUGAGGACGUGUCUUACCUUUGGGCUGCUUUAAUUCAUGAAAUACAACGAUGUCAUGAGGAUUAUUGAGAUUUUCUGCUAAAACAGAGAUGUCCAAGCCACUCAGCCUGUUGGCACUGAAGAUUGCUUCAUUCUCCAGGUCAGUCCAGAACACUCUGUCCUGCAGGAAAUACAAAGGAUUUCUGACCUUACCCUGCUCAGUUCCAAUUCAAGCUGGACUAAACUCUGGUAGUCACAAAAUCAAUGUGCUGCUUUCCUGUGCUGGGAUAACUUUGGUUUUAUGGUACUUCUAUGUGCAGCUUUUUUCUUUGGCAUGUUUAAAAAGCACAGUACUCCAACAGUGUUUAGGAGUGCUCAGUAAUUUGGAGUAGCUGUGAGACUGAGGAAGCAGGAAUUCAGCUACAUCCAAAUUCUGGACCUUCUGGGAUGUUCCUGCACCUUUUUUGAUUUUUUAAAAAUGGGAGUAAGAAGAGCAUCACAAGAAUCUACAAUCAUACAAGAAUGCAAUUGGGUUUUUAAGUUCAAGUAGGGGCCAGAAGCCUGAUUUGUGAAGAUAGGCAUAUAUCUCUGUAGGAUCAGAGCUUAGUUUUUUGGACAGAGACAUUGCUCUGAUGUGUGGCAGGACUUGUGUGUCAGAACGGCAGCAGCUGAAGCUGAAAGAGAACUAUCUGCCUUCCUGAACCAGGUGAACAAAUAACUUUUUAAUACCAAAUCCCCAACUUGGCAACGCACUGGUGCACAGUGACUGCAGGGGGAGCCCUGCGAGCGCCUGGCACACAUAUUGCCCACUGGAGCCUUCAGACUCCUGCCACAGGUCAAAAUGUUUGAGGACACUUCUGCAGAUGUUGAGAUGGCCAGAGGACAGUGCAAGCAAUCAACCCCUGGACUUACGGGGCCAUCCUCCCUUGAGGAUUCUGUUAGCACUGGAAAAUGCAGCACAAGCAUGCAUGUGAAACAAAAAUGCUGGGAAUAACAGAGGGCAGCUGCCCUGAGCCCAUGCAGCUCCCCUUGAAGUCUGACUUAUCCGAAGGCAGACACAGGACGUGCUGCAGUGUCACUCAGUGAACGGCUGCCCCACUACUGAUCUAGCAAGUGGUUUCUCCUGUCCCUUGUUAACAGUUUCGGCCUUUGCAUGGGCAGUUGGCUCAGUUCACCUCAAGGGAAAGCCAUGACUAUUUUGCAGUCCCGUGGGAGCCAUAAUUCUAAUAAGCUCUGCCUGCCCCUCAUGGAUUCAUUUGUAAUACAUUAGGUAAAAGCAUGAGGCAACGCAUCGCUCCUGAUGAGGGGCUUUAGAAAACUACUUUCCCAGCUGAACCCACACCAGGUUAAUCGGUUUCUAUAGCAGCAAACGCCCUCACUGAGCUUUCUGCGCUAUGCAAAAGGCAAAGCUUUCAAUCACGAAGAGCUUUGAGACCUCUUGCAGUCUCCAGGCUGUUCUCACCCCAUCUUGACUCUUACCUCAAACACUGCUAAGCCGAACGGAUGGCUCAGAUCAUCAACGGAAGAGAUCAGAACUUUUCUGUUGCUGCCAUUGAAAUCAAUGCAGGAGAGUGAAUGCAAUUUGGAGUCCACCCAGUAGAGACGCUGAUUCAGCAAAUCUGAGAAGUAAAACACAAUGAAACAAAAUUACACACAGCUUCUGCAAUUCUUUUUUACUUCCCAGCAUUUUUUCCCUGCUGGCAGCAUGACUAAUCUCUUUAUUAUUAGGCUUCUAAAAGUUUUUUUUCAACACUAGUUGUGAUUUUGACUCAGUGCCCAGAUAUGCUAGGAUAAGACCUUAUAAGUAAGAUUAAAAAGGAGAAACAUUCUGGGGGGUGUCUGUGUGUGUGUGAGAAUGAUGGACUGACAGUGUUGUUUUGCUGCCAGGAGGAGCAGGCCAGCCACACUUUGGGCUUCCCAGAGGUGCUCCUUCAGGGCCACUCAGCCCUAUUUAGUUGUUGGCCUCUUGCUGGAGAGUAACGACUGGGAUUCAAAUGACAUCCUUCUGAUGGAGCUGCGUGAUUAACACAUCUUCAGUGAUGAAGAAUGCUGGGUUCCAGAAAUCCUUGUGCUGCAGGCUGAGGGAAUGGCAGUGGUGGGAACUUUCCGCCCCAGACCAGACAGAUUUUGGAGAGGGUGCAGGUAAAAGUGGGUGGGAAGGGCUCAGUGUUAUUUAGAAUGCUGUGAACUGAAUGUCUCUUCCUGGAGCAGAUCCACUUAUUUUGGAUGAGAUUCACUAAACUGAAUGCAAGUGGAUAAGUGCCAACAAAAAACAAAUUCUGUAAUAAAACAAGCCAUUAAUUAAUUUCUUAAUUACUAAAGGAUAACAUUAUUUGUUCACAGCAGUAGCACUUCAACAAUAUGCAGUGGUAGUAACAUUUUCUCUUACAUCCUUUUAUAGACAGAAUUUUCAAACAUAAAACCAAGCACAGAACCUCACACCUGCGUGGUGCUAAAUGUGGAUGCCUUUAACUUGGCUGUGUUUGCCUACUUAACAAGAAAUUUACAUUAGCCACAGUGGAUCCUGUAGCUGUGACCCGCCUGCUUACCAAGCGUGAUGCCGUUUGGCCACUCAAUGUUGUCAGACACCAGCACUUGCCGCCCCACACCAUUGAGGCCUGCUUUCUCAAUCUUCGCUUUGUCUCCCCAGUCAGACCAGUACAUGAACCUAAAAGAGAUGGAUGCAAGGAGACAGUAAAUUGGACCAAAGGUUAUUCACAGGUAAUUUUUGGCAGGAAGGCCAAAUAAACUGGUCAGUGCUGUGGAGGACCCCAAAGUCUGGGAAGAGGGGGAAUUCCUGGUUGCUAGUCCUGUGCUCAGCUGAAACAUCCCUCCAAGGUUAAAAGCUGAACUGAGAAGGGCACAGUUCACACUGGCAGAUGAUCAGACCGGGCUACUAAUUAUAUUCAUGUGAAGGGUGAAGAGAGAAUAAAGGCAAGGAAAGAGAAGCAGAGUGAGAAAUAGCAUUAGCAGCUACAUGUGGUUACACUCAAAGCUGUGAGCACCAGAUGGAGGAGAGGGGAAGCAGUUACAACAGGAGCAACACGUAGAAGGCAAGUACUGUACCACAUUCUUUCAGAGGCUCGUCAGACCAGUCCCUGCAGUCUCUAUGUAAAUCGCACACUUUGCCUCCGUCAAUGCACUCUCCACUCUUACACUGAAACUUGCUGGGACUUUCACAUGCUGACUCUGUCAUGUCGGGCAAGAGAGGAAAGCAACUAAGUUAGGUGAGGCUCAAGACAACAAAAAGCCAGACACAGAGCUUCAAGAAGGUGUCAUUAGCAGAAAUGGGAUGAGAUUAAGCAAAUGAACAUUAAAGAUUGAGUAUGAUGCGAGGAACUUUUCAAGACGUGCAGUCUGCCUGGCCAGCACAAUCAUCUCUCCCAAGCAACCCCACUGCCAGAACGGCUUACAGCUCUGCAGGAAGCAGCCUGUCGUGGCACAGAGGAGCAACGCAGGCCUUCUCCUUCUGCAGUGGCCACAGAGCCCUUGCAGACUUACAAAACUGAGCACAAAGAACGUAGUGCUGUUCUGAACGUACCUUGGACACAGCCUGCCUCGUCACUGUUGUCAGGACAGUCGUGCACUUUGUCACACUGCUUUGCUCCAUGGAUGCAGGUCCCAUCCCCGCACUGGAAUUCAUCCGGUCUGCAGGUCACCAGAGCUUUAAAAAAACACACGUAAACGUUAUCCACACAGCACUUGAACUUUUUGUGUGGUACUUUUUAUCUGACACUGCAGGAGCUUUGCGCCCUCCUUCAGAAGGAUCAACUGCUUCCACCAAAGCAACAGGCAGCAGCUACCUCAGGCACUGCCCCGUGCCCCCCAACAUCCCUGACCACCCUCUACCAUCCUUGUAUUUUAAGAUACAUUUUAAAACACGUUCAGCCUAAGGUCAAAGGCAAGACACAUGUAUGCUGCAUCUGCUACAGCCAACGUGGUCACGCCAGGGUGAAGCGAGUGACAGAUGUGGUCAUUUGGGUCAAUGAAUGCCCGUGAGCCGACCACAGAGCCUGGAAGGCACAACAGCUCCACUGCCCCAUGGCUUGGUGCUUCUUGGGUUUACAGGCCAGAAACAUCUCCAAAAGUGUCAGGUCAGAUUUCAAGCCUGAUGCUCAUUUGCCCUGUUGCUGUUAUUACACUCAAAAGAGAUCUGAUGAACAGCAAAAUUGGGGAAAAAAUAGAUCAGACUGCUGCUCUGAUCAUGCUAAAAGCAGCCGCAUUUCCCUCCUCAAGGUUACACUGAGACCUUCCCAGAUGGGAUCUGACUUGCACUGACAGAGCCAACAGGCACUGGCUAGCCAGCAAAGGGCUGCAGCCUGCAGCUCACUGGUAAAAAUAGGCUCCUCGUUCCUGAGGCACGUUACGUGGCUUAUUUCUAAGGGGACUAUCUUCCAGAUGUUUUGUUAAAAUCCUGUUAAGGCAGCACACCCUGGAGAGCUCUUGAUUCUAACCUUUCCAUCUUGCUGAUUGCAGCCUGGUACCAUAUGACAGAAAAUCACUGCCUCUGAAUAGCUGGAGGAGGUCAGCACUGAUGUUCCUACAUGGGAGGCGAGAGCCACGUGGCAGACCUUCCUUGACAAUUUGACAAACUGCCUCUAAUACAAAAAUUACUACUUUCAGAUAACCCAAGAAGAGCCACAGAUACGAAGUGGGUUAGUGUCGAUAUCAUGAAGUAUUAGUAUGCCUAAAGGCUCAGCAUUAUUGGUGAUAGCAUCCCAUGGGAUGCAGGAUCCAGAUUCAAAACUGCUGGACUAAGCCCUAAGUGUCUGCAGGCAUUGAAAGGUGUGAAAGACAGGAAAAGCUGCAAUUGCAGUGCCUGUGCUGGAGGAGGGAAAUCCUGCCUUAGAAACACACAGUAUUCACAGGAGAAAGGUUACAAAAUAGCACUGCUCCAUGGAGAGGAAAGCCAUGUGGACUACAGUCAGAAAUAGCUGCAAAGCAAGAAUAAAACCACACGCAAUAAGAGCGGUUAUGGGACCAGCUGUGUCAGUGUAUCUGCUAACAAACCCAGAUACAGAAAUGCAAAACCUCAGCAGGACAUCCAGCAGCUCCAAACCAAGCACCUGGGAACUGCUCUUCUAACAAAGGAGAGGGGGACGUGAAACUGUGGUCUGGGAGAACCACAGACCUCAGGUCUGCAGGGAGGCUAGGGCACUUCUGUCUGAACCAUUCACUUCCCUGGCAGAAGCCCUGAUGGUGGAGAGACCCUGUAAUGCAAUCCCAGCUUCUUCCAAGCUAAACCUUGGCCAUUGCAAACCUUUUCCUAAUGCCUAGCCUCACAUUCCCCUGCUACAACUAUUUCUGAUCUUCACCUCCCAACAUGGGAAAGUUUACCCUUUCUGUAGCAACUUCUGUUCUGUGGAGACAGGAUGGGGUGGUCCUCCAUUUUUGGCUACAGGUAUUAAUUUUCUGCAAAUAUGCUAUACACAAUUAAAGCCAGCAGGAGCCUGGCCUGUCCUGGGGCAGAAGUUUCCAGUUUAUGAAGUAAACCUGCAAGGCAAUGGCUGCAGAUUGGGAAGGCUCAGCUAGUAAAGGGACUGCGAAACACAGAUGUGGGACUGUACAACAUCUGCACAAAGCUCCUUCUUCACCAAGAGUCAGAGGACUGGAGACCGGGCUUGGUUUCCUGGCUUGCUUCUUGUUCCAGCAGAGCUGUGGAAAUUCAGACCUUUGAGAAAUGGCCCUUGAGCCUCUUCAUGAACAUCCGAAAAGAGCAGAUACAGUGACAGCUCUUACUGAUCACACAGAUAAGUGACCGGCUUGAACAGUUUUUGUGGCUAAAACUGGAUGAAGCAUUCAAAACACCGUGCACACCAACAACACCAUGUUAAAUGUAUCAAGCCAGCUGAAAAGAAAUCCAUUAUUUAUUAGCUCUGUGCCUGUAACAGCCAAGCUCAAAGUGCAUUUCAAACUGGAUUAUUCAGAGGUGCUGCCUUGCUCGGUAUACUCCAACUUCAGAGGUAGAAAAUUAAUUAUUUUUUUUUCUGCUGAUCAUAUAUUCCCUUUAGCACUGUGGCUUCUAACCUGCAGGGCUGUGACCCCACCACGUAGCCUGAGGGCUUUAAAAAUGUCUCCUAUUUCCUCCACUUCUAGUGAAACAGAUCUUCUCUGAGGCACGGUGCCAUUCAACAGCUCUCGCAGCCCCUCUCCGAAUCCUGACAGAGUAACAGAAUAGUCUGGAAUACACCGAAUGCUGCUGGGCUGAGCACCCGGCCAUGCCUUGGGACACAAACGCUCCUUGGCAGACAGGUGCUGCACAGACAAUUUGCAACGAAGCCCUGCCUGAAAACACAGCCCAGAGGGGCUGCCCUCCCCACCAAAGGAGAAUCCCCAGCCCUGCCCACACUCACGGCAGUCCUGCUCGUCAGAUUUGUCCUUGCAGUCUUCGUCCCCAUCACACUUCCAGUUAAGGAGGAUGCAUUCGCCAUUGCCACACUGGAACUCGUGAGCAGCACAGGUGUUGAAGGCCUUGGCAUCAUAGCCACACCUCUCUAUGGACUCAUCCGAAUGGUCCUCACAGUCUGCCUGGUUGUCACAGACCCACAGCUGUGGGAUGCACACGCUGUUGUUGCACUGGAACUCAUUGGGGCUGCAGGUCAGAGGGGAGCAUUUCUUUUCAUCACUGCCAUCACCACAGUUGUUGUAACCAUCACACACGAAGUUGAUGGAGAUGCACGUCUUGUUACUGCACUGGAACUCAUCAGGAGAACAAGCUUGGGGAAAAACAAACAAACAGGUGAGCUGUGAGGUCUCCUAUCUACCCCUCUGUCACCACACUGGCUUUAGCACAUGACAUGUAUCUGAGUCAGGAGAAGGGCACAAAUGUAUUACCUUGGCUGUCCUAACCCAAAACUGCUUUCCCAAUGGUAAACUACAUAGCAAGGAAAAGGCAAAGAUGCACGGGACACCUUCACGGCUGUGCUAUGGAGUGCACCCUGCCCCCAGCACUGUCCAGGAGUGAGCUGACCCAAGCUGGGAGCUCAGCUCACACUUUCCCACCACCCCUCUGGGCCACGGGCAACCCUGCAGAAGAAUGGGCAGCAGGUAAAAUGGGGGGCAACUGCAGCACUGCCCUGGUGCUGGGGCUCCCUUUUGUAUAAGGAGGCAUAGGCAGAGCUGGAGGAGCAGUGGUGGGCGCUGGGGGCUCACACAGUGCUGAGCUUUGCUCCAUGCUGACAUUAGCAGCUUCCUGGCUUUCACAAGCACAGAAUCAGGUUUGAGGAUUUCACAGUGUGCCUGGUUUUGGACAUAUUAAGUGGGAUGUGUAGGGUAAAUAUUUAGUGAGGCGAGCAUCAAUUUAGCUGCAAUCUGCCAGUAAGGCCCUUUACAACACACUGAAAGCCUUCCCUAGAAAUCACAACUCAACAUUAACACACAAAUGAGACAUUUGUCAGAUAUGAUGCUGAGUGCUGAGUGGUGUACUCUUGCUUGCAAGCCUGAUGGACAGCUGCACCAGAGAAGCCUGCUGGAAUUAAAAUUUCAGGUACUCCAACAACGUGCACUUGGCAGCCACUUUGUCUCAUCAAGUUAUGGGGGAACCAGGACUCUGAAAUACAUUUGCUCUAAGUGCUUUUAAUUAAAGCUAAUUUCGUCAGUUAUUUAAAAAGAAUUGAAUAUGUAUCUGCUUCUGCCCUUCCAGGCACGUAUAGAAAAGUUAUGCAUUUUAUAAAUUACAAUAAAUAUAUAUAAAUAAAUUAC
This 9784-nucleotide long non-coding RNA is filed under the name Gallus gallus (chicken). The record is from RNAcentral. Lineage: Eukaryota; Metazoa; Chordata; Aves; Galliformes; Phasianidae.